UGAGCCAACUUUUUAUUUAAUUUUAAUUUGCAUUAAAUGGAAAAGAUCACAAUCUCAAAUAUUAUAUCCUUACGUAUAUGCCCUAAGCUAACUUCAUACUAAAUAAUUAUUCAGUGGAUUCUGCAGAGCAGUAACACCUGUGCCCAAAAUCAGGGAAUCAUAUGGCAUCUCAAAUACAUACAGCAGCAAAGCUGCUGUCUUUUAACUUCUGCUCUUCAGAUUCAUUUUUAUGCCUCAACCAGUUUAAUUAAAUGAUUUUUUUUGAUAGUGUCACCUGAUGGAGAAGACAAUAAGCAGUAGUUGUGUUGCUGAUUAUGAGAAGUGGAGAGAGGUCUUAACGUGCCUGAUGGCCUAAUGCAUGGAGCAGUGACUAGACCUGUGAAGCAGUUAAUAUAUUUGACUAACACCUUUUAGUUAUGAACCAGCUCUGAUCUUGGAAAAUAAACUUUCUCAAAUGAUGAGACCAGCCUUUUAAAGGGAGACCAGGACACAUGUGAAAUAUGGAAUCAAAAAGGUGCACAGAACAUUGACGAAAUAAGCAAAUUGUGCUCAGACAUGGAUCAGGAUCUGAAGAAAGGAGGAGGCAUUUGGCGUUUAUUUCCCCUAAGGGUACUGCUGCAUGUGGUGUGUGCAUCGAUGAAGCAGCCAAGGACCUAUCCAGUGCUGAGGUGUUUCCAUGUGAUAUGGCCUCUGUGAACUCCUCAUCGGCAUCCUACUUCAGUCAGCUGUCUGCUCAGCCCACCUUAUAUAGGCGAUGACUUAGGGAGAAGAAUGUCCAUGGCUUGACUUGUAGUGUUCUGGUGUCUUCUGUCACAAAAGCAGAUGAUGUGUUCAGGUAACCUGAGCUUUCCAGAGACCUAUAAAGUUUAGCUGGAUCCAAACUGAGAAGAGAUGGAGAUUUGUAAAGAGGAUAUUGCAGAAGCAUGAAUUCAUGCUGAGGUACUAUAUUCUCCAAAACUCAAGGAAGAUUUGUUAAAACAGCAGCUCGGGUUGGAAAAUUCUCCAGAGAGAAACUGUAUGAGUGAAAUGAAACACCGAUUAUUGCCUUAAUGUUUAUUUAAUUAGCCAUUUCUAUAACCACGUAAUUGUUUUAAUAGUCAUUUUAAUAGUUUGGUCUAGCGUUAAGUAAACUGAAAAGAGGAAGGAUGUUAAUCCUUAAGAAUAAUCAAUAUUUUAUUUUAAGAACCAACAUCACACCUUCUAUUUGUCUUCCAGGACCUCAGCUAUAGGCUGAUAUAUAGUUUGUCUUCUGGUGGUUGUAUUUGUUUGGUUUAGUCUUCUUUGUUGUUCUGGCUCACAAAAAGGUUUCUAUUGACAGACAAUAAAUGGUCUUGUGGAAAAGACAUGCAUUUGGGAUUUCGAAGAUCUACCCUUAGCUCUUAGCUCAGUGCCAGCAUUCCUUGAAAUCACUUAAUCUGGAUGCACUCCCCAUCUGGUUCUGCUUUUCUAGGUGCUAAGCAUUUGUGGCCCUUUGUGAAUACAGACUAAUACAGAGUAUUCCAGGUGUUAAUCAGAGCCUCUUGUUGCUGUUAAAACACACAUGCCAAUGAAAUUAAUUCCUGGUUUAUGUCUUUAAGUGAUUAGAUCUUAAUUAUAUGCAAUUGUGUAUUUUUCAUUUGUAAGGAAUGGUGUGGAAUGAAUGUGUUCCUCCUGUACAGAAAACUGAUUAAAUAAGCGUGACGGGAAUGAUUUAAGAAGCGGCAAGCUUACAAAGGACUGGUAGGAAGGAGCAGAGUUUUGAGUCCCCCAUCUACCUGCCUGUGCCCCCAUGACUUGGCAGGUUCAUUCUCCAGCCACAGCAGCCCAAACAGCUGUUCCCAGGCCUAUGGUUGAGCGCUGCUCACUGGAGUGUCACCUUAGACAAGGUUGGGUUGGAAUGAAAGUUGUUAGUUAUGAAUUAAAACAACCAUUAAUGAUGAGUCUCAAAGAGUUUAUUCUCUUGGUUGGAAAGGUUGAAGCUCCACUUUCAUGGAUUCAUUAGAGAAAAAUGCCUUUUUGUCUUAUGUAAAUCAAUAAACCUCUCGUUGUAGCAGUUGUUUGCAUUCUUGUCAAGUAAUGGGGAAUGGCAGCUUCUAAAAUCACUGUCCACAUUAAUGUUGCUGUCCAAAUAAUGUUACUGUUAGAAACAGAGAAUAGCAAUUCUGUUCUAAAUUAACCUGUGAGAUCAAUUGUGUCCAUCACUUUCAGGCUUUUGUGCCAGCACCAGCUGGUUCUGAAUGAUCUUUCUUACUGAGGAUCACUUUUGUUCAUCACAAUUAGAGGAAACUGAGCCCUGGUUAAAGACUCAGGAAUCCUAUUUUAUUUUUUUUUAAUAUCAAAUGUAAGAUGAGUCAAAAUACGCCCUUUAAAAUGACCAUGAAAUUCUUUGAUCCAGAGUUAAAAGAUCAAGACAAAACUUUUAAGCCUGCAAAUGUUCAGGAAUUGUUCACAGGGACAAACUGAUGGUUUUUCUUCACUGUCAACACAAACGAUGUAAUGAAAAGCAAUUUUGGUAAACAGCAUUUGUCACUGUUUCUCCAUUUUCUUUGUUUAAUGAUAAUGAUUUAAUAAAAUAUUUAAUUGGCAUGAAUAAUUAACUGAUUUGGAAAUGCACU
Molecule: long non-coding RNA, 2594 nt
Organism: Numida meleagris (helmeted guineafowl)
Lineage: Eukaryota; Metazoa; Chordata; Aves; Galliformes; Numididae
Exons: 5
Source: RefSeq, a predicted model, not a curated record